This 482-nucleotide ribosomal RNA is filed under the name uncultured bacterium. RNAcentral's name for it is "partial 16S ribosomal RNA". It matches the Rfam family "Bacterial small subunit ribosomal RNA", at positions 28 to 523 of the family's 1533-position model. The record is from RNAcentral.
GACGAACGCUGGCGGCGUGCUUAACACAUGCAAGUCGAACGAUGAUGCCCAGCUUGCUGGGUGGAUUAGUGGCGAACGGGUGAGUAACACGUGAGUAACCUGCCCCUGACUCUGGGAUAGGCGUUGGGAACGACGUCUAAUACUGGAUAUGACUGCCGGCCGCAUGGUCUGGUGGUGGAAAGAUUUUUGGUUGGGGAUGGACUCGCGGCCUAUCAGCUUGUUGGUGAGGUAAUGGCUCGCCAAGGCGACGACGGGUAGCCGGCCUGAGAGGGUGACCGGCCACACUGGGACUGAGACACGGCCCAGACUCCUACGGGAGGCAGCAGUGGGGAAUAUUGCACAAUGGGCGAAAGCCUGAUGCAGCAACGCCGCGUGAGGGAUGACGGCCUUCGGGUUGUAAACCUCUUUUAGUAGGGAAGAAGCGAAAGUGACGGUACCUGCAGAAAAAGCACCGGCUAACUACGUGCCAGCCGCCGCCGUAA